This 18-nucleotide small nuclear RNA is filed under the name Arabidopsis thaliana (thale cress). RNAcentral describes it as "snRNA_06616". The record is from RNAcentral. Lineage: Eukaryota; Viridiplantae; Streptophyta; Magnoliopsida; Brassicales; Brassicaceae.
AGUGCUCUGAAUGUCAAA